CCAUGGUUGCUAAAAAAAAGUCUUCCUGUAUCCCUAACCUUCUGACGCCCAUCGCUUGCCAUGGAUCGCGCCGCCGCCCUGCUCCCCACCGAUGUCGUCGCUCUCCCACCCAUCCACUGCCCCUGCCCACUGCACCUACCCUCUGUUGCAUUCCAUCUCCUCCACCGCCACCGUGAACCAUCUCUCUCCUUAGUCCUCUCUCUUGGACUAGCACGCUGCGGCGGAUGCUUCCGGUCACGUGGAGGCGGCGCGGCAGGUCGAGGGAAUGCGAUUGAGGCGGAUUGUGUCCCGUUCUCGAUCUAUCCUCACCUCCUCUUCCUCCUCUCCCAUCGAAAAUCACACCGCAAUCUAUACCUAUAGGCAAUAACAAUGGUCUCCUGUUGUGCCCCUCCACUCAUCGGACCGCCAAGGCAUGGAAGUACCCGGAGAAGUUGGUGCUCCGUGUAGCAAAUUUGUGCCCCUCCACUCAUCGGACCGCCGAGGCAUGGAACUACCUGGAGAAGAUGGUGCUCCGCGUAGCAAAUUCGGCUGUGUUUUGAGAGGCUGCCAGGCAAGACGCUUUGCCAGAUGUUCAUCAUCAAUGUCGGUCAGGGGUUCAGGCACCUUUGGAACGCAUGGCAUCAGCCAUAUGGACCUGCAUGGAUGUGAUAGUUUACUCAAUCAUUUUUAUGCCUUCAACUACAGCUACCACACAACUUCAUUGAGAUUUGUUUUCUAUAGGACCUGGAUUAAUAAUCUCCAACAAUAUGGAAUAGGCAAGCACAAGAGAAGAUUUGACAGUAGACGCUCAUUGUUUGAGGUGUGUCAGGUCAUUCUUCCAGAAUUGAUAUUAAAUAUCAUGCUUGAACUUAUUUUUGAUGAAAUUUCAAGACUAUGCCUGAAUACAAUAUAGCAAGACCAACUCGGCAACUCGGCCUACUGAAUGUACAUGGGUACCAUUAAUCGCGGACCUUUGCUGAGCAAUUCAAGCCCGAAAGAGAUCACUGCUUCUACACCGUUUCUUUCUCUCCUGGUUAGAAACAACCUCAACAAUCUUGCGUCAUGUCUCUCCCUUCAGCUAUCUCCCACCCCAUGGAAGCUAACCCAUGUCUCUAUCAAAACUAAGUUGGAGCAUUCAUCCGCUGUGCUAAAGGAGCUUAUUGACCCAAAACUGUUUUCCUCAUCUGUAUCAGUGUUUGUGCUCUCCAUGGAUGCAAUCCCGGCUCUUCUCACAUAUAACCUAUGGAUACCUCAUGGAGAUUGGUUGGAGCAUAAUCUUCUUACGUACAAGCUAUGUAUACAUAAUGGACAAUGGUCGGAGUAUAACGAUGCUGAUCAGGCGAGCUUAUAAAUUAACAUGCUGUCUAAGUAGAUGACAGCAGCAUGGAGGAGCCUAAUGUCAGUUGUCAAUGUCGUCGCUGGUCAAGUUACUAAUAAAUUUUUGUAUCGACAAAACAUGUCUAAGACCCUCUAUGGGAGAGUUAACAUCUUCAAUGGCCUGCCCAGUCUUCAGUUAUGGCUGAUGUUGUUGCUUGA
This is an RNA transcript of Triticum dicoccoides, 1515 nucleotides long. RefSeq lists it as uncharacterized. The record is from RefSeq and is a predicted model, not a curated record. The transcript has 6 exons. NCBI's taxonomy places the organism in Eukaryota, Viridiplantae, Streptophyta, Magnoliopsida, Poales, Poaceae.